Molecule: ribosomal RNA, 626 nt
Filed under: uncultured bacterium
Lineage: Bacteria
Description: bacterial SSU rRNA
Rfam family: Bacterial small subunit ribosomal RNA
Source: RNAcentral
ACACAUGCAAGUCGAACGAAGCAAUCUUGAAACCUAGUGAUGGAUUGACUGAGUGGCGGACGGGUGAGUAACGCGUGGGUAACCUGCCUCAUACAGGGGGACAACAGUUAGAAAUGACUGCUAAUACCGCAUAACCCGCUAGGGCCGCAUGGCCCGGACGGAAAAGGAGCAAUCCGGUAUGAGAUGGACCCGCGUCUGAUUAGCUGGUUGGUGGGGUAACGGCCUACCAAGGCAACGAUCAGUAGCCGAACUGAGAGGUUGACCGGCCACAUUGGGACUGAGACACGGCCCAAACUCCUACGGGAGGCAGCAGUGGGGAAUAUUGCACAAUGGGGGAAACCCUGAUGCAGCGACGCCGCGUGAGUGAAGAAGUAUUUCGGUAUGUAAAGCUCUAUCAGCAGGGAAGAAAAUGACGGUACCUGACUAAGAAGCCCCGGCUAACUACGUGCCAGCAGCCGCGGUAAUACGUAGGGGGCAAGCGUUAUCCGGAUUUACUGGGUGUAAAGGGAGCGUAGGUGGUAUGGCAAGUCAGAGGUGAAAACCCAGGGCUUAACCUUGGGAUUGCCUUUGAAACUGUCAGACUAGAGUGCAGGAGGGGUAAGUGGAAUUCCUAGUGUAGCGGUGAA